This 640-nucleotide ribosomal RNA is filed under the name uncultured delta proteobacterium. Its description in RNAcentral is "bacterial SSU rRNA". It matches the Rfam family "Bacterial small subunit ribosomal RNA", at positions 810 to 1446 of the family's 1533-position model. Lineage: Bacteria; Deltaproteobacteria. The record is from RNAcentral.
UGAGCACUAGGUGCAGCGGAUAUUGACCUCUGCUGUGCCGUAGCUAACGCGUUAAGUGCUCCGCCUGGGGAGUACGGCCGCAAGGCUAAAACUCAAAGGAAUUGACGGGGGCCCGCACAAGCAGUGGAGCAUGUGGUUUAAUUCGAAGCAACGCGCAGAACCUUACCAGGGCUAGAAAAACUGAGAAUCCUGACGAAACUCGGGAGUGCUCGCAAGAGAACUCAGGUCCAGGUGCUGCAGGGCUGUCGUCAGCUCGUGUCGUGAGAUGUUGGGUUAAGUCCCGCAACGAGCGCAACCCUUGUCCUUAGUUGCCAUCAUUUAGUUGGGCUCUCUAAGGAGACUGCCGGGGUCAACCCGGAGGAAGGUGGGGAUGACGUCAAGUCCUCAUGGCCCUUAUGUCCUGGGCUACACACGUGCUGCAAUGGUUGGUACAAAGCGCUGCGAAGCCGCGAGGUGGAGCGAAUCGCAAAAAGCCAGCCUCAGUACGGAUUGCACUCUGCAACUCGAGUGCAUGAAGUCGGAAUUGCUAGUAAUCGCUGAUCAGCAGGCAGCGGUGAAUACGUUCCCGGGCCUUGUACACACCGCCCGUCACACCAUGGGAGUCGAGUGCUCCAGAAGUGGCCGCGCUAACCCGCAAGGG